AGCGUAUAUUAAAGUUGUUGCAGUUAAAAAGCUCGUAGUUGAAUUUCGGGAUCUGUCGAUUGGUCGGGCUUCACUGUCCGCACUGACCUGAUGGAUUCCUACCUUCUGAAUAACCAGCAUGCCAUUAAGUUAGUGCGUUGGGGAAGCAGAGCUAUUACCUUGAAAAAAUUAGAGUGCUUAAAGCAGGCUUGUGCUUGAAUAGAUUAGCAUGGAAUAAUAAAAUAGGACGGCAUGGUUCUAUUUUGUUGGUUUCUAGGAUCACCGUAAUGAUUAAUAGGGAUAGUUGGGGGCAUUAGUAUUCAAUUGUCAGAGGUGAAAUUCUUGGAUUUAUUGAAGACUAACUUCUGCGAAAGCAUUUGCCAAGGAUGUUUUCAUUAAUCAAGAACGAAAGUUAGGGGAUCGAAGACGAUCAGAUACCGUCGUAGUCUUAACCAUAAACUAUGCCGACUAGGGAUCGGACGAUGUUAAUUUUUUAAUUACUCGUUC
Molecule: ribosomal RNA, 486 nt
Filed under: uncultured Glomeromycotina
Lineage: Eukaryota; Fungi; Glomeromycota
Description: SSU rRNA
Rfam family: Eukaryotic small subunit ribosomal RNA
Source: RNAcentral